UACGAAGGGGGCGAGCGUUGUUCGGAAUUACUGGGCGUAAAGGGCGCGCAGGCGGCUUACGUAGUCAGGCGUGAAAGCCCCGGGCUUAACCUGGGAAUUGCGUUUGAUACUCGUGAGCUUGAGUAUGGGAGAGGAGAGUGGAAUUCCCAGUGUAGAGGUGAAAUUCGUAGAUAUUGGGAAGAACACCAGUGGCGAAGGCGGCUCUCUGGACCAUUACUGACGCUGAGGCGCGAAAGCGUGGGGAGCAAACAGG
Molecule: ribosomal RNA, 253 nt
Filed under: uncultured bacterium
Lineage: Bacteria
Description: partial 16S ribosomal RNA
Rfam family: Bacterial small subunit ribosomal RNA
Source: RNAcentral